Molecule: transfer RNA, 69 nt
Filed under: Lithidiopsis carinatus
Lineage: Eukaryota; Metazoa; Arthropoda; Insecta; Orthoptera; Acrididae
Description: tRNA-Gln
Rfam family: tRNA
About the family: Transfer RNA (tRNA) molecules are approximately 80 nucleotides in length. Their secondary structure includes four short double-helical elements and three loops (D, anti-codon, and T loops).
Source: RNAcentral
UACAUUAAGGUGUAAGAUGCACAUUAGUUUUUGAUGCUAAGGGUGACAGUUUAAUUCUGUCUUGUGUAA